RNAcentral lists this ribosomal RNA (497 nucleotides) under uncultured bacterium. RNAcentral describes it as "partial 16S ribosomal RNA". It matches the Rfam family "Bacterial small subunit ribosomal RNA", at positions 28 to 507 of the family's 1533-position model. The record is from RNAcentral.
GAUGAACGCUGGCGGCGUGCCUAAUACAUGCAAGUCGAGCGAACGGACGAGAAUCUUGCGUUUCUCAUGUUAGCGGCAGACGGGUGAAUAACGCGUGGAUCACCUACCUAUCAUACUGAUAUCACUUCGGAAAUCCGGCGAUUAUCCCGUAUAAUAUUUUGAUCCGCAGGGUGCAAUGGUAAAAGACGGUCUUGCUGUCUGUACUCGAGGGUUCCGCGCUGCAUUAGCUAGUUGGUAAGGUAACGGCCUACCAAGGCAACGAUGCAUAGCCGACCUGAGUGGCGGAUCGGCCACACUGGAAGUUGGACGCGGUCCAGACGCCUACGGGACGCCGCAGUAGGGUAUCGGACGCAACAGGCGGGAGCCUGACGGAGCAACGCCGCGUGAGUGGUGAAGGCGCUCGGAUCGUAAAAAUCUGUUACGAGGGAAGAACAUCUGUGGAAGGUACCGUGGACAGCGUGACGGUAACUAAUAAGAAAGCACCGGCUAACUACGUG